UACGGAGGGUGCGAGCGUUAAUCGGAAUUACUGGGCGUAAAGCGCACGCAGGCGGUUUGUUAAGCAAGAUGUGAAAGCCCCGGGCUCAACCUGGGAACUGCAUUUUGAACUGGCAGACUAGAGUCUUGGAGAGGGGGGUGGAAUUCCAGGUGUAGCGGUGAAAUGCGUAGAGAUCUGGAGGAACAUCAGUGGCGAAGGCGGCCCCUGGCCAAAGACUCGACGCUCAUGUGCGAAAGUGUGGGUAGCGAAACAGGAUUAGAUACCCGGGUAGUCC
RNAcentral lists this ribosomal RNA (274 nucleotides) under uncultured bacterium. RNAcentral's name for it is "partial 16S ribosomal RNA". It matches the Rfam family "Bacterial small subunit ribosomal RNA", at positions 524 to 796 of the family's 1533-position model. The record is from RNAcentral.